GAAGCAGGCUCCAUGCAGGGGGCUGGAUGCGGGACUCGAUCCCGAGUCUCCAGGAUCAUGCCCCGGGCUGAAGGCGGCAUUAAACUGCUGAGCCACCCGGGCUGCCCAGUAUCUGUUUUGUCAGAGUGGAUUCAUUUAAGCUAGGAGUUAGAGCUCCGCCUCAGACACCAGACUUCUAGAUCUGAGUCCCUGCACACUACUGACUGGCUGACCUCUGUGCUCCACCUUCCUCUCUGGGCGAGUGAUCAUGACAGCUACUCCUGGGGUUGGGGGGAUUAAAUGCGUUAACACAUAUCAGAAUGAUUAGAACAGAGCCUGACAUGGAACACUCUAAGGUUUACUAUCACUGUUAUUUGUAUAUCAAAGUAAUUCAGUAGAGUUUAGUUGUCAUUUAAAUGAGAUAAAUCCUGGGGGCAACUAGGUGGCUCAGUGGUUGAGCAUUGCGGACUGAACCAAGGGCACUUUUCCACUUUUUCCUCGUGCACUGUUAGAUCCUCCUGUCAGUCUAGAAGGACCUCUGAACCCUGGACUGGAAACCCCGUUGGAUUGGGAGCUCAGCCCAACAGAAGCAGAGCUCAGACCAAGAGGAGCUCACCCGGGGCCUAAGAAAUGAUGCAGGUCAGGGAGCCUAGGAGGAUGAGUCAGGCCCACCCACGGACCUCUGCAAAUGCCUCUGGAUGAUGAGACAAGCUUCGGGAGGCUGGGACUCUCCUGUCCUGAGUCCCUGACACCUGGAACGGGGCCAGCACACGGGGCCAGGUGGAGGAACUGAGGCCAGAGAGGGGAAGCAAUUCAUCCUGGUCACAGAGGAAGUUAGUGACAGACAUUGGACUCACACUCACUGCACCCCCUGGGGGUUUGGCUUCUCUUCUCUUUCAUUCUUGCCCUCCCGCCUUUCCCUUCCACAGUUCUCCAGCUAACCUUUCUCCAGUGCCACUGGGGCCAGGUCAUUGCCACUCUGAGCAGACCCUCAGAGCUGCCUGCUUCUCCUUGCACACCCUGUCCCUGCCACAGACCCUGCUACUCCUCUACAGCUCACCAUGCCCACGCUGCCCCCACACCAAUGAGAUCAAGAUGUCUGGGGAUGGGGUACAGGCCCCAGUAUAUUUUAAGGAUCCUGGGGUGUUCUCAUUCACAGCAGGGUUUGGGAACCACUGGGUCAGCUUUCAUUAAUGGCACCUCCACCUCCUGUCCCAGAGCCCAAGGCUGCAGAUCAGUGACUCUUUUCUUUUUUCCAAAUUUACUUUCCAGAUUCAUGGGUCCCAUGAGCAAUCCUAUGUCCCUCCUGCUCCUGCUCUUUGCCCAGACCUGGGCCCCUACUCUACCUGGAUUGCCUGGGCUGACCUGCCUCACUAUCACUAGGCACUCACUCAAUAUUUGCAGUUGAUGUUGGCCAAGAGGAUCUUUGGCAUAAAUGAAGGGAAAGGGCUUUGGGGUCAGGAAAACUUGGAUUCUAAUACUCUCCAGUUCCACUUACUGUCUGGGCCUCAGUUUAUUCAUCUGUGAAGGCAGAUGGGGUGGGGUGGGGGUGUGUUUGUGUGUGUGAGAAUGCCUGCCUUGUAGUUUGUUGUAAGGAUCAAAGAUACUACCUAGUGGGCCCAGCAGCUCACAAACCAGCUGCUCUGGGGACAGGCUGCCCUUGCCUUGAUGCUGGGGAGCGGUGACUACUUCCAUGGGUGGGAAGCAAGGUGGCUGUGAGCCUUCUGAUAAGGACCUUGCCCACAGGGUUUCUUCUAGGACAGGGCAACUGCAGCAGAGCAGUGAAUUAGGGGGGAAGCAGAAGCUGAGGGGUAGGGGUCAUGAGAGAUCAGCUAGGGAGUACCACCACUCUGCCUGAGAAUGUGGGGUGAGGUGCCUGGUGGGAGGUUCCCUUGGGAACCCACCAAAUGCCCCGUGGGGACAGAAUCAGCAUUUGAGUGUCUGCUAUGCCCAGAGGUGCCAAUGCCUAAUGGUAACCACACUAAUCAACUUUUUCUAGCCCUGUCUCUUUCUCUGAGCUAUCAGGGAGGAGAAGCUUGAGACCAAAUAGAACACGAAAACAUUGAGAGCAAAUAGGACCAGACUAUUUAUUUAUUAGAGAGAGAGAGCACAAGCAGGGGGAGGAGCAGAAGGAGAGGGAGAAGCAGGCUCCUCGCUGAGCCGGAAGCCUGACAUGGUGCUCGAUCCCAGGGCCCUGGGAUCAUGACCUGAGCUGGAGGCAGACACUUAACCAACUGACCCACCCAGGUGCCCCAGGACCAGACUUUUUAAUACAUAGGAGAUGAGCCUGUGCCUUGUACUGUGUACCCCCAGGAUGGAGAAGCCACAGAAGCAUCUUAAGCAGAUGCAGGUGUCCCCAGAGAGCUAACAGGGCUCUGGCGAGAAAGAAUCGAGGGGCCUACCUGUGCCACACUGUCUAGCUCGUUCAAUAGCUGCUUCCCCUGGGGUUUGUCUGUGAACCCCGUCUGUGCCGGGCAUUGAUGGGCUGCUAUCAGAUGCCCAUGUGGCCUGGCAAGGCCCUUUCUUUCUCUGGCCUCAGUUUCUCUAGCUGUGAAAUGCCUCCUUUUCUGCGGGUCAUGCCAGACUUUGCCAGUCUGUAAAAAGAUCCAAGGUCUCUCCAUUCCAAGUGGGAAAAUUAAAUGUGUC
Canis lupus familiaris (dog) is the source of this 2625-nucleotide long non-coding RNA. RefSeq lists it as uncharacterized. Lineage: Eukaryota; Metazoa; Chordata; Mammalia; Carnivora; Canidae. The transcript has 4 exons. The record is from RefSeq and is a predicted model, not a curated record.